This 468-nucleotide ribosomal RNA is filed under the name uncultured bacterium. RNAcentral's name for it is "partial 16S ribosomal RNA". It matches the Rfam family "Bacterial small subunit ribosomal RNA", at positions 28 to 507 of the family's 1533-position model. The record is from RNAcentral.
GACGAACGCUGGCGGCGUGCUUAACACAUGCAAGUCGAACGGAAAGGCCCUGCUUUCGUGGGGUGCUCGAGUGGCGAACGGGUGUGUAACAUGUGAGUAUCCUGCCCUUGACUUUGGGACAACUUCAGGAAACUGGGGCUAACACCGGAUAGGAGCUCCUGCUGCUGGGUGGGGGUUGGAAAGUUUCGGCGGUUGGGGAUGGACUCGGGGCUUACUAGCUUGUUGGUGGGGUAGCGGCUUACCCAGGGUUUGACGGGUAGUCGGCCUGGGAGGGUGACCAGGGACAAGAGGCCUGCGAUACGGCCCAGACUCCAACGGGAGGCAACGGUCGGGAGUAUGGCACAGCGGGCGGGAGCCUGAUGCAGAGACCCCCGGUGCGUGAUGCCGGCCUUCGGGUUGUAAACCGCUUUCACCUAUGACGAAGCGUGAGUGACGGUAAUGGGUGAAGAAGCACCGGCUAACUACGUG